CGAAGGGGGCUAGCGUUGUUCGGAAUUACUGGGCGUAAAGCGAGUGUAGGCGGUCGUCGUAGUCAGGUGUGAAAGCCUUGAGCUCAACUCAAGAAAUGCACUUGAUACCGGAUGACUAGAGUGCCGGAGAGGAUAGUGGAAUUCCCAGUGUAGUGGUGAAAUACGUAGAGAUUGGGAAGAACACCAGUGGCGAAGGCGGCUAUCUGGACGGUUACUGACGCUAAGACUCGAAAGCGUGGGGAGCAAACAGGAUUAGAUACCCUGGUAGUCCACGCCGUAAACGAUGGGUGCUAGACGUUGGCGAGCUUGCUCGUCAGUGUCGCAGCUAACGCGUUAAGCACCCCGCCUGGGGAGUACGGCCGCAAGGUUG
This 370-nucleotide ribosomal RNA is filed under the name uncultured organism. Its description in RNAcentral is "bacterial SSU rRNA". It matches the Rfam family "Bacterial small subunit ribosomal RNA", at positions 526 to 896 of the family's 1533-position model. The record is from RNAcentral.